AUACGUAGGGUGCGAGCGUUGUCCGGAAUUACUGGGCGUAAAGAGCUCGUAGGUGGUUUGUCGCGUCGUCUGUGAAAUUCCGGGGCUUAACUCCGGGAGUGCAGGCGAUACGGGCAUAACUUGAGUACUGUAGGGGAGACUGGAAUUCCUGGGGUAGCGGUGAAUUGCGCAGAUAUCAGGAGGAACACCGGUGGCGAAGGCGGGUCUCUGGGCAGUAACUGACGCUGAGGAGCGAAAGCAUGGGUAGCGAACAGGAUUAGAUACCCUGGUAGUCCAUGCCGUAAACGGUGGGCGCUAGGUGUAGGGGUCUUCCACGACUUCUGUGCCGUAGCUAACGCAUUAAGCGCCCCGCCUGGGGAGUACGGCCGCAAGGCUAAAACUUAAAGGAAUUGACGGGG
This 398-nucleotide ribosomal RNA is filed under the name uncultured bacterium. Its description in RNAcentral is "partial 16S ribosomal RNA". It matches the Rfam family "Bacterial small subunit ribosomal RNA", at positions 523 to 918 of the family's 1533-position model. The record is from RNAcentral.